CACGUAGGGCGCAAGCGUUGUCCGGAUUUAUUGGGCGUAAAGAGCGUGUAGGCGGCCAGGUAGGUCCGUUGUGAAAACUCGAGGCUCAACCUCGAGACGUCGAUGGAAACCAUCUGGCUAGAGUCCGGAAGAGGAGAGUGGAAUUCCCGGUGUAGCGGUGAAAUGCGCAGAUAUCAGGAAGAACACCUAUGGCGAAGGCAGCUCUCUGGGACGGUACUGACGCUGAGACGCGAAAGCGUGGGGAGCGAACAGG
This 253-nucleotide ribosomal RNA is filed under the name uncultured bacterium. RNAcentral describes it as "partial 16S ribosomal RNA". It matches the Rfam family "Bacterial small subunit ribosomal RNA", at positions 524 to 776 of the family's 1533-position model. The record is from RNAcentral.